This 508-nucleotide ribosomal RNA is filed under the name uncultured bacterium. Its description in RNAcentral is "partial 16S ribosomal RNA". It matches the Rfam family "Bacterial small subunit ribosomal RNA", at positions 30 to 523 of the family's 1533-position model. The record is from RNAcentral.
AUUGAACGCUGGCGGCAUGCCUUACACAUGCAAGUCGAACGGCAGCGGGGGAGAAGCUUGCUUUUCCUGCCGGCGAGUGGCGGACGGGUGAGUAAUACAUCGGAACGUGCCCUGUAGUGGGGGAUAACUAGUCGAAAGAUUAGCUAAUACCGCAUACGACCUGAGGGUGAAAGUGGGGGACCGCAAGGCCUCAUGCUAUAGGAGCGGCCGAUGUCUGAUUAGCUAGUUGGUAGGGUAAAGGCCUACCAAGGCGACGAUCAGUAGCUGGUCUGAGAGGACGAUCAGCCACACUGGGACUGAGACACGGCCCAGACUCCUACGGGAGGCAGCAGUGGGGAAUUUUGGACAAUGGGCGAAAGCCUGAUCCAGCAAUGCCGCGUGUGUGAAGAAGGCCUUCGGGUUGUAAAGCACCUUUGUCCGGAAAGAAAUGGCUCUGGUUAAUACCUGGGGUCGAUGACGGUACCGGAAGAAUAAGGACCGGCUAACUACGUGCCAGCCGCCGCCGUAA